Molecule: long non-coding RNA, 2324 nt
Organism: Gossypium raimondii (Peruvian cotton)
Lineage: Eukaryota; Viridiplantae; Streptophyta; Magnoliopsida; Malvales; Malvaceae
Exons: 2
Source: RefSeq, a predicted model, not a curated record
UCCACCAAAGCAAGAGAAAAGAAUUUAUCUCUUGCAAAUAUGACUCUUGUCAAUCAAAGCACAAAUUUCAUCGUAGUUUGAUUUUCCCCCUAAAAUAAAGUAGAAAAUAUAUUUCUAAGCUUGCUUCCAUAAUCAUCUUCUCCAUUUAAAUCUAGAAUUUAAAGCGGAUAGUGAAAGAAAGCUUCAAGUAAGAUCCAAGGGGAAUUAAUCCUUUUAUGUGAUACUAAUGAGUGGACGUGGAUUUGAGUUAAAAAGGGCAUGAAAAGGUCUGUAUAUUUUUGUGUUUCCACACCCUCAAACUUAAUUCAUUGUUCGUCCCGAGUAAUGCACAAAUUGAAAAGAAUAUUUUGUAAACACCUUUGAAAAUUUUCUUUAGAAAACAUUCUUCCCAUAAUUAUGAAGUUAGUAUACUUAUGCUCAAGAACAUAAAUUUUGAGAUUUAUGCUGCUUAAGUAUACAUAUCGUUCAAAUUAAUCUCAAUUAUUAUUAUGAUAGAAAAAAUAGACUAAAUGCUUUCUCAAUAAAGAUAUGUUAAAUCCCUACCAAUUUGAUUUUAUCUUAUUUAAGAUUAGCUACAAUCUUUAAGUUUAAUUUAUGCCUUCAUAUGUUAAACAUAGCAAUUUCUCUCCACUAAUGUGGGUAGCACAAAAAUUUGAAUUAGUAGGUCUUUUAAAUAGGUUGUAGCGUGGCUAGGCUAGGGGUAGGUAAAAGAUAGAUGAAUUUAGGCUAAAAACCCUAGACUCAGCUUGCAUCGAACCUUCGGAAUAAUGAACUUUAAUACACCAACUCAUUUUUCUUUUACCUUCUCUUAUGUACAUCUAUUUCUUUCGAGUACAUAUGCUUUUUUUUUGAGAAUUUGAUACUUCUUUUCAACUCCCCCAAACUUAUUUUCAAAGAAUAUUAUGAAUAGACUGAGUCUAGUGUUUGGGAUAAUUUAAAGAUAAUUAUGAGAGAAGUGAUGGCUAAUUAUUGCAAAGGUUCAAAUAAAAUUAGGCUAUAUAGUCUCAAAGUUGGGUUUCAAGGGGUAAAUAUUCAUCAAGGUUGGCUUAAAAGGCUCAAAUAGUCCAAAAAAAGUUUGCCUAAAUUAUUUUCAACAGUCCAUGCUUCCUAGGAUUUUGCCUCAAGAAAUUACUAAGUCAAUUCUAGAGACUUAAACUGUCAUGCAUGCUUAACUUUCCUAAGAAACUAAAAAAUUUAUGGUAUGAUUUUCAUACUUUAUUAAGAGUACAUUUAUGUCAUAAUUAAGCUAACAUAACAAUUAUUGAGAUAAUAGAACUUUAUUCAUACUGAAGUUUAGCAUACUUCACAAAAUUUCAAAUUUUUGAACAAAAUAUAACCUAACCAUAAUUAAAAGAAAAUUUUAUUCUGAGAGGAGAUAAUUUCAAUUUUUUAAUCCCCCUACUUAAGAUGAACAAUGUCCUAUUUGUUAGAAGUGAAUAUACUAUACACUAGGUAGUAUUCUAGAAAAGAUGAGGUGAGUCAAUUUGACUGCUUAAGUACCAAGCUCUCUCUAGACCCAAUCCUAGACAUAUACAUAUCUAUUGCCACACUUCUUAUUUUGUAACUUGUUCAUUUUUAUUUAUGAUUUUCACCUUUUAUUUUAUUAUGCGAGAAAAAAAAUCCUAAUAGGACCUAAUCCUAAAAACAUUAAAUAUCGUAGGAAAGAAACUAAUAUAAAGUAAAGAUCCCCCUUUCUUAUUUAUUUGCAGAUCCCUCAGAAUUUGACUCAUCUUUUACUCCAUCGUCUUUGUUUUUGCAUGAAUCGCUUUGUACCCUCUUCGAUAUUAGACUCCAUGGUUCAAAUAUAAAAUCUAGAAACUCAGGCACAAAAAUAAAUGGGUCAUGAAAUAUUUUCGUAAAAACGAUUGUCAUUGAGUCAUCCCAUAUUUUUGAAUAUCUCCAGUAAGCUUGUUGUUGCCACUGCAUAUGUUGAAUUAUGUCCAUCAACUUUGAUAGCUCAUCACGAAGAUCUAGCUUAGGUGAUUGAGUUUUGAAUGUUGAGGCCGCCAUGUCAGGUUCGGUUAUUGGUUCAAUUUGUUCUGCCUUAUCAAGGAUUUCAACCGACUGCAUUGGUUCGAUCUCUAUGGGAUCUUCUUCUUCUUUUUCGGGAUCCUCGUUCAAUUCAACUUGUUGCUGUAGAACAGAAUCUCCGGCUAUUCGAUAGAGGUCCCAAUAUGUGAUUGUGCCUUGGCUAUAUCCUGUAUUCUUUACGUUUGCAAGAAUUUUAGCUUUCAAGCACAAAUUUGUUAUCGUAAAGGGAAAGUAUGCUGGGCCAAAACGUCUAGCGGCAUAAUUUCGCAUUUCUCUCAGAAUGAUUUUUCUCA